UCUACCAACUGCGUUUUUAUUUUUUUAUUAAGACUUUCUCUCCCAAUUCUAUACCACCAAUUAGCUGUAUUUACACAACUACAUCCAAUCAUAUCCUUUAAAAAAAGACACUGGGUUAAACAUUUAAAAUAAAAAAAAACACAAGUUAUCUACUCUCCGCUACUUCAGAUUACUCUGGGUGUGUGAUAACCCAUACAGUUCUCUGUGCAUCAUGGAACAGAGCACUGUCCACAAAGAUCAGUUUGAAUUUCGACCUUGGGUUUAUUAUUGGAGGAAAAAACAUGAACACAGAACAGAAAUAUUGGAUUGGAUUAAUAUUGUACAUGUAAAGCGUACUUCAUAUAGACCGUGGAUAUGUAGCUGAAUUACAGUACCGCAUUUAGUAAUAUAGAAUAUGUAAGCUGAAUUACAGUACCGCAUUUAGUAAUAUAGAAUAUGUAAGCUGAAUUAGAGUACCACAUUUAGUAAUAUAGAAUAUGUAAGCUGAAUUACAGUACCACAUUUAGUAAUAUAGAAUAUGUAGCUGAAUUACAGUACCGCAUUUAGUAAUAUAGAAUAUGUAGCUGAAUUACAGAUAUUGCAUUUAGUAAUAUAGAAUAUGUAGCUGAAUUACAGAUAUUGCAUUUAGUAAUAUAGAACAUGUAAGCUGAAUUACAGAUAUUGCAUUUAGUAAUAUAGAAUAUGUAAACUGAAUUAGAGUAUCACAUUUAGUAAUAUAGAAUAUGUAAACUGAAUUAGAGUAUCACAUUUAGUAAUAUAGAAUAUGUAAACUGAAUUACAGAAGUGUAUUUAGUUGAACAGCUGCAAUUAUGUGUGACUGGAUAUGAGAAUAAAAUUCAGAAAACUCAAAAACGUACAUACAGCACUACUUAUUAUAAGGUAUAACAUUGUACUACUAAUGUAGGUUAGAAUCAUCCCUUAUGUGAACAUUGACAUCCAAUUUGACAAUAUACAUUGAGGAACUUUAUGGAUUUGAUUUUACAAAAAAAAAAAAAUGUUUUCCAUAAAUCCCUGGAGAUAAAACAUGGGAGACAUAAAAGCCAGAAAACACAUACUCACUCAAAAUGAAUAUGGUCCCUCACCACGAUACAAAGUUAAGAGACGGUGGCCAGGUAUUAAUAUGGUCCCUCACCACGAUACAAAGUUAAGAGACAGUAGCCAGGUAUUAAUAUGGUCCCUCACCACGAUACAAAGUUAAGAGACAGUGGCCAGGUAUUAAUAUUGUCCCUCACCACGAUACAAAGUUAAGAGACAGUGGCCAGGUAUUAAUAUUGUCCCUCACCACGAUACAAAGUUAAGAGACAGUGGCCAGGUAUUAAUAUUGUCCCUCACCACGAUACAAAGUUAAGAGACAGUGGCCAGGUAUUAAUAUUGUCCCUCACCACGAUACAAAGUUAAGAGACAGUGGCCAGGUAUUAAUAUGGUCCCUCACCACGAUACAAAGUUAAGAGACAGUGGCCAAGUAUUAAUAUGGUCCCUCACCACGAUACAAAGUUAAGAGUAGCCAGGUUUUUCAUCCAAUUAGCAACAUAUUUUCACGCAAAUAUUCUAACAUUUGCCAUAAAACAAUAUUCACAUUUUUUUCACACCAGAGAUGUUUUUCCAUCAAACGUAAUUUGUGCGGAUAAAAGACUGUGUGGCGUAGUGCACAUAAAACACACCUUUUUCUCUUCAAUCCCCAAUAGAAGUUCAUUGGGUUUCCAUUGCGUUUUGUGAUGUGAGAGAAGUGUUAUAUAUAGCGAAUGUGUCCACUCUGGUCUCUAGCCAACAGUUCGCAAAUGCAGUGCAUUAUGAGAUGAUUUAUGGAUAAAAGCGAUAUAAUUUUUUUUUCAUUUUGUCAAACGGCAGCCAAGUAUCUAUCAACAUGUCACUGGAAUAAGACCCUGGAUAUGGAUUGGAAAGGCGCAUCAAGCUCAUCACCACCCGGUGAAGUUCAUCAUCAUUUAUUUCAUCUGUAGCUUAAUAAACUGUGUGGUUUCCCGAGUCGUAGUGGGGAGGACUACACAACAUAUCAUCGCCGGACUCCAAGUUGACGUCAAUACGAUGGUUAUUAUAUCAAUAAUUAAGUAUAAAGGCAUUUCCACUACCAUUUCUUGCAUAAUUAAUUUUACCGACACAAAAAAGAUCCCGCCAUGUCGAACGAACAAAUUGUCUGUCGGCAUUUCUACAAAUGUACCAGUAUUUAAUGUUUCCAUAAACCCAGUCGUAACUUCUUUCAUGUGUCAGGUAAUUCAUCCGCAUGAAAUGUUUGGAUGGAAACGUGGUUAGUGUCAGACAGAGAAGCAGUCAUAAUUACCAGAGAACAUCAUUGAAGUAAACAUACACAUUCACAAAACAAUAAAAAAUAAAUAUACAAUAAAAUAAAAUAAAAAGUACAUAACAACAUUUAUAGUACAUAUUAAAUGUCAAUUGUCUGACAAAAAAAAAACAGUUGGUUCGUGAAAGUAGGCGCUUUGGGAGGGGAAGGCUUUUGGUUGGUUAGUACUGGAGAGGGUUGUUAUGGUAACCAGCCGUGCUAGGCUGUGAUUGGUUGACAGUCAGCCAGGCUGGCCUGUGAUUGGUUGAAAGUCAGUGAGCGUGUCCAGAUCAGUCCUUGCCGGCAUCGAUCUUCUCUUGCCGUCGUCUCAUGAUCUCUUGGAGCUCUGAAUCCCCACUGCUCUUCUGGAAAACAGUAAUACAGGCUUUAGUUUCACACGUCCCAAACACUGAACAAAAAGAGAAACACAACAUGCAACAUUUGUAAAGAUUUUACUGAGUUACAGCUCAUAUAAGGAAAUCAGUCAAUUGGGAUGAAUUAAUUAGGCCCUAAUCUAUGGAUUUAACAUGACUGGGAAUACAGAUAUCCAUCUGUUGAUAACAGAUAUAUAUAUAUAUUUUUAAAGGUAGGGGCGUGAAUCAGAAAACCAGUCUGUAUCUGGUGUGACCACCAUUUGCCUCAUGCAGCGCGACAUAUCUCCUUCGCAUAGAGUUGAUCAGGCUGUUGAUUGUGGUCUGUGGAAUGUUGUCCCACUCCUCUUCAAUGGCUGUGCGAAGUUGCUGGAUAUUGGCGGGAACUGGAACACACUGUCGUACACGUCAAUCCAGAGCAUCCCAAACAUGCUCAACAGGUAUCGUGUCUGGUAAGUAUGCAGGCCAUGGAAGAACUAGGACAUUUUCAGCUUCCAGGAAUUGUGUACUGAUCCUUGAGACAUGGGGCCAUGUAUUAUCAUGCUGAAACAUGAGGUGAUGGCAGCGGAUGAAUGGCACGACAAUGGGGCCUCAGGAUCUCAUCACGGUAUCUCUAUGCAUUCAAAUUGCAAUCGAUAAAAUGCAAUUGUGUUUAUUGUCCGUACCUUAUGCCUGCCCAUACCAUAAUCCCACCAUGGGGCGCUCUGUUCACAACGUUGACAUCAGCAAACCGCUCGUCUACACAACGCCAUACACGGUACCAUCUGUCUGGUACAGUUGAAACUAGGAUUCACCCAUGAAGAGCGCACUUCUCCAGCGUGCCAGUGGCCAUCGAAGGUGAUCAUUUACCCACUGAAGUCUGUUACGACGCUGAACUGCAGUCAGGUCAAGAACCCGGUGAGGACGACGGGCACACAGAUGAGCUUCCCUGAGACAGUUUCUGUCCAGUUUGUGCGGAAAUUCUUCAGUUGUGCAAACACACAGUUUAAUCAGCUGUCCAGUGGCUGGUCUCAGACCAUCCCGCAGGUAGAGAAGCCUGAUGUGGAGAUCCUGGGCUGGUGGGGUUUCACAUGACCUGCGGUUGUGAGGCCGGUUGGACGUACUGCGAAAUUCUCUAAAACGACAUUGGAGGUGGCUUAUGGUAGAGAAAUGAACAUUACAUUCUCUGCUCCGGUGGACAUUCCUGCAGUCAGCAUGCCAAUAGUAUGCUCCCUCAAAACACCAGACAUCGGUGGCAUUGUGUUGUGUGACAAAACUGCACAUUUUAGAGUGGCCUUUUAUUGCCCCCAGCACAAGGUGCACCUGUGUAAUGAUCAUGCUGUUUAGUCAGCUUCUUGAUAUGCCACACCUGUCAGGUGGACGGAUUAUCUUGGCAAAGGAGAAACGCUCACUAACAGGGAUGUAAACAUAUUUGUGCACAACAUUUAAGACAAAUAACCUUCUUGUGAAAAAUGAAAAAUGUCUGGGAUCUUAUUUCAGCUCAUGAAACAUGGAUCCAACACUUUGCAUUUAUAUUUUUGUUCAGUGUAUGUGUAUUUGUAUCAGUACAUGUAUCUAUCCACUUAACUAUAAAAAGACAAAUGUGGGUCUCAAAGCCUUAAAACAGCCACACAAGGAGUGUGUGUGCGUA
Molecule: long non-coding RNA, 4297 nt
Organism: Oncorhynchus tshawytscha (Chinook salmon)
Lineage: Eukaryota; Metazoa; Chordata; Actinopteri; Salmoniformes; Salmonidae
Source: Ensembl